CGUUCCCUUUUUCGCGUCUGUUUUUUUUUGGGGGGUGGGUUUGCGUGCUUCCCCUUAACACGACAUGGUGACUCUCUUCACGCGGCGCUCACUCGCGACCUGUAUUGUUUGCUUCGUGUUUUCUUCUUGUGUCGUUGUUUUGUCUGCUCCUGCUCGCUCACCCCUUCCCCUUUACCACCGCCACCAAUCACGAAACGGCGACGCAUCAACAGCUGUGCGUACAUCCGCCGUUGCGCCUCACUUGCUCCUUCGACCGCUAUCGUCCUUUCUGCCUUCACCCGCUUCUUCCAACUUCAUUUCUUUGGACGCUCUUGACCGUGCACCGGCAACUACGCCAACGCAUCCCCAAUGCACGCUAGCACCUAUCGCCUCCGCCUCUCGCACAUCCCGUAAUUGCCGGCAUCUGUCCCACAACAAUAGACGAGGAUGCCGAGCACGCGAUACGCGAGGGCCUCCGCCUCGCUCAGUCCCGCACAGACGUCUGUCCGUACCUUGGCUUACGGCGAUGGCGGGUGAGUAGCAGCGGCAGCAUGGCGUGCAGAUGGUGUGCAGCCUACCACUCCGCUAGUGUGGUGGAACCGCCACCCCUCCCCUGCCUGUGUUCGCUGUGAGGGCGGCAUACCAGGCGCUGUGCCCGGUAUGCUACGCGAGAUUCGCGGGUUGCUCGAAGCCCGAAGCGCAGCGCGCUUCGCGCUGUGGUCUUGCGCGCAGUGAUGCGGCUACGCGCACAUCUGCCUCGCGCUGCAUGCGCUUCCCCUGUCGCGUGUCUAUGGCUGCCCCCCCCUCCCCCCUGUGUGCCCCUUCACAACGGCAAGCCGUGAGCUCGCUGUGCGCAGACACACGCUUACGCGCGGGUUCAGGAGAGGGUGGAAUGCCCCCGCCGCCACAGACGCACAGCAGCGAGCCGCACGGACAGCAACGCCGUCCGGAAACAGGCCCCAGGGCCCGAAAAUGCGAGCGCUGUGUGCACCUGCGGUCAAGCACAGCACGCAUAGACGGUGUAUGACAUCCAAGAAGGCAUGCAGAGGUCAGAGGAGCACGAGUGAUGGACGGGAAAGGCGCGAAGAGACGCACACCGGUCAGCGCCACAGUGCAUGUGCGCGGCAUAUGCCGCAUCUCCUACAUCCGGCCGGGUGGGCUGAUGCGGCACGGACGCCGGCAGCAUGACGGGGGACACCCCGAGUUGCACCACCGACCCCACCAGGCCCCCAUGCGGAGAGUCUCCACACCACGUUACGGCGCGCAGCGGCCUGAGGCGAGUCAGGGCGAUGCACGGCACACAGGCCGGGUGCAGGGCCUCAGGGGGCCCUGGCCUGACUCUGGCCAACUUGCGGCUGGAGCUCAUCCGGCAUGCACCUGCAGUGCCCCUCCCCCUACCACCCGCACCACAGACGCCGCCGCCUCCGCCCUCGAGCAGGGCCGUGGACGCGGGCCGCUUCGGAUCGAUGGACGCCGUCCAGCCAAGCGCGUCCGCGCCGAUCGCGCAGCGCGCAUGCGUAGAAGAGACGAGGAAGGACGAGGGGAGCCCGCCAGACGCGUGCCCCCGACUCGACGGCAGAGCGGCUCGUCCUCGCGGACAGGAGCCUCGCCGUGGUGCAGCAGAGGCGGGUCAAGUGGUGUUGUUGUGUGCGUAUGCGUUUGUUGGCUUGCUUCUGGUAGAAUGGACACGCUGAAAAAAAAAGGAGAACCUGCCAUACUCCCUCUGCUGGCAGGGAGGCAUUGCAGUGCGUGGUAUCUCAGGGCCCAGUGCAUUCACAUUAUUCCACAGGGGGGGGGGUGGCCGAGCAGCCCCCUCCCGCUAUCCCCUUUCCUGCCAGCUGCAGAGCCGCUUCUGCUGGUGACAGGGCCAUCCCCCCUACGUCGUAGGGGGGGUCAGAGCGAUGCAUCGCUGUUGAUGUCGGCGGUCGAGGCCCUGGAUGGCGUUGCAUCGGAGCCACCUGCGACAGCGAACGCGUCUGUGCCAUCCGCCUGAUGGGCGAAGUGUCGGCGUGACUCGAGCGCAUAUCAGACGGUCCUCGCUGCCUACUGGUGUGGGGAGCGUGAGCCACCCCGAGGGUCGCACGAGGUGGUGACCGGCACCAUGGGCAUGGCUGUGAGGCGACCUGCGAGGAGGCUGGGGGGGGGAGGAGCUCGAGGCAGGGGCCGAGCUCAGAUGACUGGGUCGGCGCAUUGCUGUAGCGCGCGCCUGCGGCUUCUUCGCACCACGUGGGUGGGGCCUGCGGCUGGCCGGUGGUAGAGUGUGAAGUUUGACCGGUCGGCGCAUGGCAGAGAAAAGGACACAUCGAAGCAAAGCAAGAAUCCUGACCCAGCGGCCCAAUUCAGCGCGUAGACAUCUGCUCAUGCGACGUGAAUCCGGUUCUUCUUCUCCCCCGUCUUAUGUUUUGUGCAUGCAUGUUUGUGUGUGCCGCCGCCCCCCCCACCUCCCCCACACACCCCUCCCGGCGUUAUAG
This 2450-nucleotide unclassified non-coding RNA is filed under the name Leishmania donovani. Its description in RNAcentral is "gene:unknown". Lineage: Eukaryota; Euglenozoa; Kinetoplastea; Trypanosomatida; Trypanosomatidae. The record is from RNAcentral.